AUUGAACGCUGGCGGCAGGCCUAACACAUGCAAGUCGAGCGGAUGAAGGGAGCUUGCUCCUGGAUUCAGCGGCGGACGGGUGAGUAAUGCCUAGGAAUCUGCCUGGUAGUGGGGGAUAACGUCCGGAAACGGGCGCUAAUACCGCAUACGUCCUGAGGGAGAAAGUGGGGGAUCUUCGGACCUCACGCUAUCAGAUGAGCCUAGGUCGGAUUAGCUAGUUGGUGGGGUAAAGGCCUACCAAGGCGACGAUCCGUAACUGGUCUGAGAGGAUGAUCAGUCACACUGGAACUGAGACACGGUCCAGACUCCUACGGGAGGCCGCAGUGGGGAAUAUUGGACAAUGGGCGAAAGCCUGAUCCAGCCAUGCCGCGUGUGUGAAGAAGGUCUUCGGAUUGUAAAGCACUUUAAGUUGGGAGGAAGGGCAGUAAGUUAAUACCUUGCUGUUUUGACGUUACCAACAGAAUAAGCACCGGCUAACUUCGU
RNAcentral lists this ribosomal RNA (483 nucleotides) under uncultured bacterium. RNAcentral describes it as "partial 16S ribosomal RNA". It matches the Rfam family "Bacterial small subunit ribosomal RNA", at positions 30 to 506 of the family's 1533-position model. The record is from RNAcentral.